GAUGAACGCUGACAGAAUGCCUAACACAUGCAAAUUGAAUGAUGGGAGCUAGCUUGCUAGAAGAAGUCAUGGUGGACUGGUGAGUAACGUGUAAAGAACUUGCCCUUUAGACUGGGAUAACAGGGAGAAAUUCUUGAUAAUACUAGAUAUAAUUAGACUAUGGCAUCAUGGAUUAAUGAAAGCUAAGGCGCUAAAGGAGAGCUUUGCAUCCUAUUAGCUAGUUGGUGGGUAAAGGCCUACCAAGGCGAUGAUAGGUAGCCGGCCUGAGAGGGUGAACGGCCACAAGGGGACUGAGAUACGGCCCUU
This 306-nucleotide ribosomal RNA is filed under the name uncultured bacterium. Its description in RNAcentral is "bacterial SSU rRNA". It matches the Rfam family "Bacterial small subunit ribosomal RNA", at positions 28 to 334 of the family's 1533-position model. The record is from RNAcentral.